RNAcentral lists this non-coding RNA (52 nucleotides) under unclassified sequences. RNAcentral's name for it is "Xanthine-I sequence". It matches the Rfam family "Xanthine riboswitch aptamer (NMT1 RNA)". Rfam says of the family: Later it was reported as a ncRNA that recognised Xanthine. The record is from Rfam by way of RNAcentral.
UGAUGGAGUAGAAGCGGUUAGCAGCCUUGUGCUGCGGGACAUUGCUCCGCAU